Molecule: unclassified non-coding RNA, 195 nt
Filed under: plant metagenome
Description: partial contains small subunit ribosomal RNA, internal transcribed spacer 1, and 5.8S ribosomal RNA
Source: RNAcentral
UCUCCGUUGGUGAACCAGCAGAGGGAUCAUUACCGAGUUUACAACUCCCAAACCCCUGUGAACAUACCAUUUGUUGCCUCGGCGGUGCCUGCUUCGGCAGCCCGCCAGAGGACCCAAACCCUUGAUUUUAUACAGUAUCUUCUGAGUAAAUGAUUAAAUAAAUCAAAACUUUCAACAACGGAUCUCUUGGUUCUG